Molecule: transfer RNA, 76 nt
Filed under: Stutzerimonas stutzeri
Lineage: Bacteria; Pseudomonadati; Pseudomonadota; Gammaproteobacteria; Pseudomonadales; Pseudomonadaceae
Description: Pseudomonas stutzeri tRNA-Glu
Rfam family: tRNA
About the family: Transfer RNA (tRNA) molecules are approximately 80 nucleotides in length. Their secondary structure includes four short double-helical elements and three loops (D, anti-codon, and T loops). Further hydrogen bonds mediate the characteristic L-shaped molecular structure. tRNAs have two regions of fundamental functional importance: the anti-codon, which is responsible for specific mRNA codon recognition, and the 3' end, to which the tRNAs corresponding amino acid is attached (by aminoacyl-tRNA synthetases). tRNAs cope with the degeneracy of the genetic code in two manners: having more than one tRNA (with a specific anti-codon) for a particular amino acid; and 'wobble' base-pairing, i.e. permitting non-standard base-pairing at the 3rd anti-codon position.
Source: RNAcentral
GUCCCCAUCGUCUAGAGGCCGAGGACGUCACCCUCUCACGGUGAAGACCGGGGUUCGAAUCCCCGUGGGGACGCCA